Molecule: long non-coding RNA, 371 nt
Organism: Glycine soja
Lineage: Eukaryota; Viridiplantae; Streptophyta; Magnoliopsida; Fabales; Fabaceae
Exons: 3
Source: RefSeq, a predicted model, not a curated record
AUCCUCUCCAUGGCCUGCCGCUAGGGUUUUCAGUUGUGGUUCUUGUUUGCGAGAUAGAAGCGUAAGCAGCGGCUACCCUAACCUCGUCCUCCUCUCUACUAAAUUCAGCUAUGGCCGACGAAGCUGUGGUUGUUCUAGAUGACAUUUACCCUUUGCUGAAGUUGAAUAUGGCGGCGAGGAACGCUGAGAAGCAGAUCCCGCCAGAGCCGCACUGGGUGUUCUGCUACACAAUGCUCCAUAAGGUUUCUUGAAGUUUCACCCUCGUCAUUCACCAACUCGGCACCGAGCUUCGUAACGCCAGGAUGAUAGUAGCAUAGAAACAGAUGUCAAGGUGCCAAUACUGAUAGCCUUUCACCGUCAUAUUUAUCAUC